CUACGGGGGGCAGCAGUAAGGAAUAUUGCGCAAUGGAGGCAACUCUGACGCAGCCAUGCCGCGUGCAGGAAGAAGGCCUUAUGGGUCGUAAACUGCUUUUAUUUAGGAAUAAACCCCCGAACGUGUUCGGGGCUGAAGGUACUAAACGAAUAAGCACCGGCUAACUCCGUGCCAGCAGGCCGCGGUAAUACGGAGGGUGCAAGCGUUAUCCGGAUUUAUUGGGUUUAAAGGGUGCGCAGGCGGGCUAUUAAGUCAGUGGUGAAAUCCCGGGGCUCAACUCCGGAACUGCCAUUGAUACUGAUAGGCUUGAGUUUGGUUGAAGUGGGCGGAAUGUAGCAUGUAGCGGUGACAUGCAUAGAUAUGCUACAGAACACCAAUCGCGAAGGCAGCUCACUAAGCCAAAACUGACGCUCAUGCACGAAAGCGUGGGGAUCAAACAGGAUUAGAUACCCCGGUAGUC
This 460-nucleotide ribosomal RNA is filed under the name uncultured bacterium. Its description in RNAcentral is "partial 16S ribosomal RNA". It matches the Rfam family "Bacterial small subunit ribosomal RNA", at positions 339 to 795 of the family's 1533-position model. The record is from RNAcentral.